AACGAACGCUGACGGCGUGGAUAAGACAUGCAAGUCGAGCGAUUACAUCAGGGUAGCAAUAUUCUGGUGUGAGAGCGGCGCAAGGGUGCGUAACACGUGGGUAAUCUGCCAUGAAGUUUGGGAUAACUCCGCGAAAGCGGGACUAAUACCGGAUGUGACAGCCUGGAGGCAUCUUCGGGUUGUUAAAGUUGGGGACCGUAAGGCCUGACGCUUCAUGAUGAGCCCGCGGCCUAUCAGCCAGUUGGUGAGGUAACGGCUCACCAAGGCUAAGACGGGUAGCUGGUCUGAGAGGACGACCAGCCACACUGGAACUGAGACACGGUCCAGACACCUACGGGUGGCAGCAGUCGAGAAUUUUUCACAAUGGGCGCAAGCCUGAUGGAGCGACGCCGCGUGGGGGAUGAAUGGCUUCGGCCCGUAAACCCCUGUCAUUUGCGAUCAAACCUUGCUAUUUAAAAGAUGGCGAGCUGAUAGUAGCGAAAGAGGAAGGGACGGCUAACUCUGUGC
RNAcentral lists this ribosomal RNA (507 nucleotides) under uncultured bacterium. Its description in RNAcentral is "bacterial SSU rRNA". It matches the Rfam family "Bacterial small subunit ribosomal RNA", at positions 29 to 508 of the family's 1533-position model. The record is from RNAcentral.